RNAcentral lists this long non-coding RNA (294 nucleotides) under Gossypium barbadense (sea-island cotton). Its description in RNAcentral is "long non-coding RNA (GBAR_LNC005562)". The record is from RNAcentral. Lineage: Eukaryota; Viridiplantae; Streptophyta; Magnoliopsida; Malvales; Malvaceae.
UCAGCUUGAGGUGGUCUUGGAGCUUUCAAAUUAAACCCUUGAGAAUUGUUGGGUCUAUGCUACAGGAAGUUGUUGUUCGGUCCAUUUCCUUGGUUACUCCUAGAAAAAUUAGGAUGAUUACGCCAUGAAGGAUUGUAGAAGUUGGACUGGGGUCCUUGUCCACUCCUAUUUUGAUAUUGGUUCCCCAUAUAAUACACUAACUCGGGAUUUGAUGGACAAUUCUCAAAAGAUGACCUUCCCCACAAUACACAUAAGAGACUACUUCAAACGGACAUGGUGGCUGAGCUGCAAAAU